RNAcentral lists this unclassified non-coding RNA (8324 nucleotides) under Mizuhopecten yessoensis (Yesso scallop). RNAcentral describes it as "fH1/FH2 domain-containing protein 3-like, transcript variant X10". The record is from RNAcentral. Lineage: Eukaryota; Metazoa; Mollusca; Bivalvia; Pectinida; Pectinidae.
ACACUGGUGCCGUGCCAUAACCAAGCUUGCGUGUUUGUCUCCCCACUGUAUAUCUACGUGUAAAUCUCGUGCAUCUGACCUACACAUGCUGACAAACUGCCGAGAGGGGGACGGAGAACGGAGGGAACCCAUCAGUAGUGGACACGAACAUGUGACAGUAACUGGGCCCCUCCUUCCGACCCCUGAAGAGGACUUUACCACAUAAUAUGACCCGACGUUACUCCCGGGACCUCGGCAGUUCGGUAAUACCCAGAAGCACAUCCGGUCACCACAGUACUGACUUAGGCGACGCCAUCUUGGUCUUGUAUCUUCAAUAGAAUGCGUCGUCGAAGUUACUCUGUUAAUUCUUCACGUCCCAGCUUUAAUGAUGCCUCUACUUCCGGCAUAUCACGACCAGAUAGCCUUAGUCUCUCUACUUCCGGUUCCGGUUACCGGUCAGCUUCCACUAGUGGACGUGUAACAGGUUUCGGUGCUGGACCAUCUGGUAAUAGCACUGCCAAUUCUGGGGUGACCUUUAAUACCGGUGCCUACAAAAGCACCGGUGGCGGGAAAUCCUUAGGCAGCGGGUACCACUCCAGUACAGGACACAGUAGUGAAACGCCACAACUCUAUGGCAGUAGGAGUAUAGCAGGUCCUGGUCGCAGUUAUGGUGGAGUCCGGGCCGGAACUAACGUCGCUAGUCUACUAGCGGUUCCACGUGCCCGUAGUAAUAGCGGUGUUCACGUUCCUAGUAUCGGGAGUGCCCGUGUUAGCUCAAGUGUCGGACCUAGAAUCCUAAGUGGGCGGUCAUCUGAUUCCAAGGUUGAUAACAUUAGAAAGUCUCCGGUCAGUCCGUCGUCAUACGACCGAGGGUACGGUAGCAUCGCCAGCAGCCGCAGUCAUGGCUCGCUUUACGACAACAUGGGGUCCGGAAAGGGCUAUGGCGGAUCUACCAGUAGGUACAGCAGCGGCCUAGGGACCAGUAGCUAUCUCAGUCCGACGUACGGCUCGCAAAACAAAAGCGGGUCGUCCUACGGGUCACCAACAAAAACCUACUCAUCAGGCUACCAACAACCCUCGUCAUCCGGGUCUCGAUACGGGUACGGCGGCGGUUCUGUCCGAGACCGGAUACAGAAAAUUUCGUCAGCGGAGACACCGCGCAGCACGGGCAAAGAUACCGGAACCAGUAUGUAUACUCCAUUAAGUAGUAGAGGGACCACACAGACAAGGGGAGACCAGUACGGAAGCGGAGGCGGAUACGACAAAUAUUCAUCACGGAGUGCGGGGUCUGACCCUUAUGGUAGCAAAUCUGGAUAUUUGUCAGACUAUGGUGGUAGUACAAGGUCAUAUAGUUCUUGGGACCGAGGGUCGUCAAGAUCAGGUCGCAGUUACGGAACUGCUAGCAGAGAAACAUCCCCUGUGAGUCAGCGAUCGUCACGAUAUGACUACGGUACCAAGGCUGCCACUCCGUCUCCGUACAGCACUUACAAAAGUAGUUCAGAGGUGUCGCCACCAGUAAACCGAAAGUACGACCGCCAGGCGUCACGAUCAUCGGACGUAGAAUAUUCUGCUAGGGACAGGGGUGACAGGUAUGAAAAGAGGCGGUCAUCACGUGACUUUAUCCGCCCGCCUCCUCGGAAGAAAGUUUCCGUGUCCUCCGACAGUGAUGAGGACGACAGUGCUCCCGAGGCGGAGAAAGAUGGCUUCAAGGGUCGGUACCUCAUAUCGAGGGGAACUUCACCGAUGCCUGAAAACGAAGCCCCAAAACGAGAUUUACGAUAUAGAAAGGACAAAAAGUCAGUUUCGCGGACCAAACGUAUUAGGCCACUGAGCAACAGAGACUCCCGGCGUGAGAGUCGAUAUCGGGACUACCGCAAUCCUACUCUCGUUGAUUGCUCUACUCAAACACACAUGGACCAACCCACCUCUCGCCGAAGUCGGCACUCGUCUGGCAGCUACGGCGGCGAAGUGAGCGGUGACCUGAGGGACAAGGCGGCGAUGGCUGCCUUGGCCUUGAUAGACAGUGGAGGUGGGGAUGGCAAAGACGAUUCGUUCUACAAGUAUCGAGAUAAGUUUGACAAAAACAAACAACCAAUGUCACCAGGUUAUAACGCGACGGAUAGUCCGAGGAGUAAACGAUUUUCGUAUCGCGAUACAUCAGCAAAAGACGAAUCAUUAGGGGAGAUUCCUCCCGAAAAAUCAUGGCGUCAGUCCGUGUACGGUACCUCAACGCCAAUGAAGAAAUCCGAGGAGGAAGAAGUACCAAGACGACGACGCCGGCAGCUUUCUAAUGUAGAGCCUGACUAUGAAAAUGUCGAAGAGGAUUCGAGGCCAAGCUCACGUCGGGGUGAAAGACGCUCCCAGGGAUCGGACAGGGACCGGCGCUCACAGCGUGAGAUGGCUCAGGAUUACAGUCGCUCCAACUCCCGGGACAGUCUUCUUGACGACAAACCCGCGCGGAGGCGGAGGCAUGGUAGUAAGGAGCUUCUGGAUGCACCUCCUGAACCGGAAGUUAUUGUCCAUACUCCGGAAGAGGUUCCGGUACAGCGACGAAGGCGGCACGGAAGUAAAGAACUACUGGAUGAUCCUGCUGAGUCACUGACUCCAGAGACCAUUUCGUUAAGAGACAGUAUUGAGAAAGUUCAGCAAUGGAAACAAAACCUACCGAAUCCAGACCCGUACUAUGAGGACCAUCCUCCUCCACAGCCUCAACCGCCGACUAGGCAUCUCGAGACUGGCUUCCCAAGGAGUGAUUCAGGCGAGUAUUUUUCUGCUCACGACUACCCUGUGAAUCCAAAUUCUAGACCAAAUGACGGUAAGGUCAUGUCUCCUGACAGAGGCAGGGGAAGAGACUCUCGUGGGUCGGGAAAUUAUGGUCGUGAGCAGGAGCAUGCUCCAUACCGUGAUGACUCCCCGGGGAGACAAAGGAGGCAAUAUCGACGCGAUGACUCGCACGAUAAUGUGUUUUCUGGUGACGAUGAGUUAGAUGGACAUUAUCGCAAAAAGGAACAUCGCAAGUCAGACCUGAACAGGGCCGAUGGUGAACACUACGCAAUCACCCGUGACGAGUCUCCCAACAGGUUGCGUCGCUCACACAGACCACCCUCUGGCGAUGGUGUACGGCGUUUGACGCGAGAAGGAUCAAGGGAAGACAAUCUAGAUGAUAGAAAGACAAGGAGGGAUGACCAUGAUCGUGGACACACAAGCGAUAGCUCUCAGUUUGGAUUUAAUCGGGAAAGUUCGCCAAAUCGGUCACAUCCACAGAAGAAGCCCGGGAGUAGACCAAACUCUCGGGAAAGCAUACUAGACGAAGGUCGUGUUCGACGAAGCACCUCCCGUGAGGGCAUGCUGGAUGAAGGUAAAGUGCGACGGAGCAAUUCACGUGAGGGUAUGUUGGAUGAAGGUAAAGUGCGGCGAAGCAAUUCACGUGAGGGCAUGCUGGAUGAAUGUAAAGUGCGGCGAAGCAAUUCACGUGAGGGCAUGUUGGACGAAGGGAAAGUAAGACGCAGCAACUCAAGAGAAGGAAUGUUGGAUAACGGUAAGCUUAGACGAAGUAAUUCGCGAGAAGGCGUCUUGGAGGAGAAGCUGGUGGAGUACCCCCCUGCAUACAGUCGGCCGGGACAGCUCGCCAUCUCCAACGAGAGCCUGGCACACAUGAGCAACUCGGCAUCCGCUGGAUCAAUCAACUCGAUUGUUCCAGACGACGGGACGCUUCAUGCAACAAAGUCACCUAACUCGAUUACAUCAAAUGAAGGACUUCACUCACCCGUGUCUCAGUCUCGUCUUCACGCCCCGUCGCCGGGGGCCAACAAAGGACUUCCAGACCUGGUACCCGGAGGACCCAAGGCAGGGCCGGAAGGUAAGGAUCAAAAGCGUCAGUUACAACGAUACGUCCGCCGUACUAAGAGUGGAUAUAUUGGCAAAGUACAAGAUAUUGACAGGUAUCUUGGACCCGCUAAUAAGGACGAAUCUGAAAGCGGGGGUUCGGCUAAAAAGACUUCCGGCACCGAUAAAUCUGACAGGCCCCCAAACCUGAUGGACACUCCUGUUCCCAAACAUCCUGACCCUCUCAAGCCAUCUCCCAAUGUCCCAGAAGAAAAGUUGGUGGACAUUGAAGAGCCUAAGAAGACCAAGUCGAUUCUGUCAACACGUCCGAACGCCUCGCGGAAGAAAGCGGAGCCUGUGACGUCAAUGGGGUCGCAGGUAGGAACCACUGGACAGCAGAUGUUCAACGUCCUCAAAAAGAACAAAGGGUCAGUAACCAUCACAGAUAUCCUUGAACUCUGCUAUGGGCGAGGUGCAGGAGGAAAGGUCAUCAGGGUACCUGGAGUCACUGAGUCGGACUACAGUUUUAAGGGAUAUGACACCGUCAACGAUCUUCUGGAGAGCUUGAACGUCAACGUCAGAAAGCUCGAGGACUGUGCUCUACAGAUAUACCGUUAUCACAAUGGUUCCCAGGGAGACUAUGGGACGUACAUGGACCUGGAAUCCACCGUAGAUGAACAGGCAGAUGAACUUGAGGGCUUCCAAGACCAGAGGAAGAAUGCACUAAUUUUGAGAACACAACUUACAGUCCGGGUACAUGCUGUAAUUGAAAAACUUUUAAAUUCCCAUGGAAGAGAACUACGAAGAGCCCUCUUCUCCCUCAAGCAGAUCUUCCAGGACGACAAAGACCUUGUCCAUGAGUUCGUUAACAAUGAUGGCCUUGACUGCCUCAUCAAGGUCGGUUCUGAGGCUGAUCAGAACUACCAGAACUACAUUUUACGAGCCCUGGGACAGGUGAUGCUGUACGUGGACGGCAUGAAUGGAGUUAUCAGUCACAAUGCUACCAUCCAGUGGCUCUAUAACCUACUCUCAUCUAAGUUUCGAUUGGUUGUGAAGACAUCACUGAAGCUGCUACUUGUGUUCGUGGAAUAUACAGAAACAAACACCAUGCUACUUUUGAAGGCCAUAAAUGAGGUGGAUCGCAAACAAGGCUCUCUGCCAUGGACAAACAUAAUUGGAAUCCUUGAUGAGAAAGAUGGCGGGGACACAGAACUUCUCAUAUACUCCAUGACACUGCUUAAUAAGGUGCUGAAUGCUAUCCCUGAUCAAGACACAUUCUACGAUGUUACGGAUGCGCUAGAAGAACUAGGAAUGGAACAGAUCACACGUAUCUACAUGAACAGGAAUGGUGCUGACCUUGACCUCCUCACACAGUUCCAGGUGUACGAGGCGGCCCUGCGUUAUGAAGAUGGAGAAGAAGAAGAUGCAGACCUGUCACAGUUAGACAGUUUAAGACGGACACCAAGAAUAAAGAGUGACCAGGACAGCGUGAGGAAAAGUCGUCGCUUCUCCAUGGGAACAGGUCCCAAGAAGAUGAACAAGUCCAAGAGUGCACCAGCUCUACCCGCAGAGGAGAUCGAUCCGGCCAACGAGUACAUGAAGGUCAAACAAAAGUCAAAGGAGAACUUCCUAUUAAUGCCAGAAGAACAACACGAUAAACUUCCAGAACAAAGACGGCGACGGCAAAAGCUUGAUGAACUACAACAAACAGUAGAGGAGGCUAGACCGCCCGAUAAGCUAGGAAUGCCUCAAAACGUUCAAGUCAAUGGCACAGCUGAACUCUCACCCAACAUACAGUCAGCAUAUGUUCCUCGCACGCGGAGAGACCGGCGGGAAAGACAGAAGUCGUUUGUGAAAGAGCAGGAGUUAGAACGAAUACGACAGCGAUUUCAAGGGCGCAAUCAUGCUGGCGAUCGAUCAUCUGUGUCCAGUUCUGCUUCAUCGAGCACAAUUAGUAGUGAUGACCAACAACAGAUCAGGAACGGUUACUCCAAGGAGUCUGGUUACCUUAGUAACGGUGAUUUGUCCCAAAGUCAGAAUGGGUUCGAGUCUAGAAACAAUGUUAUUAAUGACAGCCUGAGUAAUUCAGUGUCCCCCACGGGACCACCAGGCAAUAACUCAAGUAACAGUCGCUGGGCCAAAUAUUUACAGACAAAGAAAGAGGAGACUACGGACAAGUCACCCGAACCUCAGCCCGAAAAUGACCCGGGCGUGCUCAAACGACAUCCGUCACUCAAAGGUGAUAGCUUGUCUCAGCGAAAGGAAAACCUGCAGCAAGGCCACAUCGGUAAUGCAAUACAGCGAAUGCCUGUCGAAGGUUUUGAUGCUGAGGAUAAAGACAAUGUAACAACUAAUAUUAGCCGCUUUACGGAAAAUGGUGAAGCAGAAACUGGGCCGAAAGAGCUAUCACGCCCCACAGGUGAUCUCAGUGGACUUAUCAGUAAGGCUAAGGGUGAACUAUCACGGCAAACUGUUGCCAAGGAACCACCCAAACCUACCCAAACUCCUACCUCUUCCCCAGAAGUGAAAUUAACUGAAAGUGACCUACAAUGGGACAAGAUGUGUAAACGGUUAAAAAGACCGUUAAAAAUAAAAGAUUUAGACUUUACAGAUCUCAACGAUGAAGAUGACUGUGAUGUGUUCGGCUCUACGGCCCCAAUAGGCAUGGGUAUGGGUGGUUGUCCUCCUCCACCCCCUCCAAUGCCUGGUAUGGGGUUGCCCCCACCUCCUCCCCCUCCUCCUGGUAUGGGGUUGCCCCCACCUCCUCCACCCCCACCAGGUGCCCCACCCCCACCUCCUCCCCCAGGGAUGAUGGGCAGUCCAAUGCAAGCCCCUGGUGUAAAUGUAAACCUGCCUCCUCCCCCUGGUGCUACUCUGAAAAAGAAGAAAAAGACCCUGAAACUCCACUGGAGAAUGGUUCAACCCGAGAUGCCACAUCCGUCAACCAAAGGGGAGACAAUCUGGAAAGACAUUGUAGAGGUCAAGGUUGAUCCUGACAAGCUGGAACAUCUGUUUGAGACAAGAGCAUCAGACAUGAAACAAAAGGAAUUGAAAACUGAUACAAGUGGAAAGAAAGAGAUCUCUGUACUCUCUCCGAAACGGUCAAAUGCCAUCAAUAUUGGUCUGACAGUAUUACCACCUCCUCGGACAAUCAAGGCAGCCAUCUUAAAGAUGGACAACUCCAUCAUGAACAGAGAAGGAAUUGAGAAGAUCCUGACCUCUAUGAUGCCGACAGAGGAGGAGAAGGCACUGAUCCUGGAUGCCCAGAUGGGGAACCCUGAUAUACCCCUGGGGACAGCAGAACAGUUCCUCCUCACAUUGUCCUCCAUCAGUGAACUGCAGGCCAGGCUCUCCCUCUGGCUCUUUAAACUUGACUACGAGACAGUGGAAUCAGAAGUUGCAGAGCCCCUGAGUGAUCUGAAGAAGGGCAUUGAGGAGCUACUGAAGAACAAAACCUUUAAAUACAUCCUGUCUGUGAUAUUGACUAUCGGAAACUUCCUCAACGGUGCUCAGGCGAGAGGAUUCAGUAUAGAGUAUCUGACCAAGAUUCCUGAGGUGAAGGACACCGUCCACAAACACUCCCUCCUGCACCAUCUAUGUGUCAUCAUCAUCGACCAGUUCCCUGACAGUACAGAUCUCUACUCAGACAUUGGAGCCCUGGGCCGGUGUUCACGGGUGGACUGGGAUGAGCUUGGCUGUAAGCUUGAAAAGAUGGAACACGAGUGCAAAGGAUCAUGGGAUCAUUUACGUGCAAUCAUAAAACAUGACGGGAGUUCAAAUUCAAGUAUAAAAACAAAGUUGUCAGAAUUUCUUUCAGAUGCAGCAGAAAGAAUUAUGAUUUUAAAAAUUGUCCAUAAACGGGUCAUGCAAAGGUAUAACAAGUUACUUUUGUACAUGGGUCUUCCCCUGUCGAGUGCGCGGGAUCUCAAGGUGAACUCCUUCUGUAAAACCAUUAGUGAGUUUGCCCUAGAGUACCGGACGACGCGAGAGAAGGUCAUUCAGCAGCUACAGAAGAAAGCCAAUCAGAGAGAGAGGAAGAAGACGCGGGGCAAGAUGAUUGUAGAUACCGAAAAUUUCUCCAGCUCCAAGUCAAAGUCCAAAGAUGCUCAGAAUGACGAGGCACUGCAACGUCUCCUGUCCAAUGGUUACACAAGUGCCGAUGACAAGGGCAUGCCUGGCCACAAACGCAGGCAACGAGGUCCACUUGAUUCCAAAUCCCAGUCGUCGAGAGGCUGUGUGACAACAGACUCUGAAAUGUAUGACACGGGAGAUGAUGAGAUUCUGGAGGCAUGUGUGCGAACAGCAGCAGCACCCUCCAGUAGGCCCAAUAGGGAACGAAAGCGGUCCAGUAAACAUCGUAAAUCAUUGACACCAAGAAUAGACACGAGAUAUUAAGUUUACACGUGGUUGCAGACAGGUAAACUUCUGCUAAAGUAAAGUCCAAAAACAUAGAACAUAGGUAAUCGCACACUAGCCAUGAGACGGACGCUGAAGAGUGGGCUCACAGCAGAGGAAUGGGA